UUCUUAUCGAGAGAGAUGGAGGGAAGUGGCCCUGUGAUAUCUCAGCAACCAGCCGGACUCCGGUCAGGUGCUAAAUCCACCAAGUGAUCAAAUUACUUGGAAGAUGAGAA
Molecule: non-coding RNA, 110 nt
Filed under: Anaerobacillus alkalilacustris
Lineage: Bacteria; Bacillati; Bacillota; Bacilli; Caryophanales; Bacillaceae
Description: SAM-I sequence
Rfam family: SAM riboswitch aptamer (S box leader)
About the family: The SAM riboswitch is found upstream of a number of genes which code for proteins involved in methionine or cysteine biosynthesis in Gram-positive bacteria.
Source: RNAcentral